AACAAGAUAAGCAGAAUUAUUUCCUAAAUUACAAAUAUCUACACCUACAACAAAUCACUGAGAGGAGCAGGGGACGCUGUGGGCGCAGUAUGGGCACAAAGAGGUGCGCUUUUAGCAGCUCUUAUCAACGCUGCUGCUGCUAUACGCGCAGGAAGCUGGCGUGACUUUGCCUUGUCUUUGUCUGAAGAAAGAAGGAACAGUAUUUUUCUGUCCUUUUUUAUGAGUGUUUUGAUUGCAUUGCUUCUCUCGACUUAGUCUAGGAAAGGGUAGGCCUCAGUAGAGAUCUCAGAGGCUAUAGGCUCCCUGAGGUAUAUCCUCAGUAGGAGGAUUUUUUCCCCCUUUUUCUUGCCUAAUUAACAGAUCAGAUGUGGGAAUAAUUAUGAAUAAACAUCAGGCAGUGUCAUUUAGAGACUGGUCACUUAGACUAACCCGUGAUGAGUCUAUACACAGCCACACAAGGGAUUAAGCUCCCAGCACAGCUGUAACCAGGACUGCUCAGAUCCCGGCUCCGUUUUUUGUGCAGGACACAGCCCUGACAUUCUGCUUGUUAUACAGGAAUUCAGAGUUAACAGUGAAUAGUCCUAUUUCAGUUCUCAAUGAAAGAGAAUACUGGUGCUCCUCACAAUAACAGUCUUUUCCCAGACAAAGCCAACACUGGUAUAGCAGAAAUGAUGCUAGUAAGAAGUGAUGUGAAUUGGUAACAAAGAAGCUUGAUCAGUGUGAUGGAGGCAGACAGUCACAGGCACAAAUUAAAUCUCAGAAGCAAAUUAAUUCCUCAUUCAUUCUUCUGAACACCGGUGCUACAACACACUUUGUAAAAGUUGCAUCGAAGGUAGCAGCUGGAAAUUAAUUAGUUUCAAGAGCUGAAAAUAUUCUCUGUGGAGAAAUUUUAAGCCCAUAAACUUUUCCUUUUCUUCUUCUUCUUUUUUUUUUUUUUUUUUUUUAAAUAGUGCAUCAAAAUGCAUGCAAAGCAGAUCUAUGAAUUGCUACAUGGCUUUAUUUUUUAAAUUGCCCGUCUUUUUAUUCAGUGGUCUCAUAAACAUAAAAUUGAUUAAAUGGACAUCUUUCUUUCUAAGCUAAGCUAAGCCACAUCUCUCCUUUUUUGAAAGCUUCCUAAACAUGCAAGCACUCCAUAAAAAAGUAACUGGUGCAUGCAGAAGCAAUGCAGUUCACAAAUGAAGCAGUAUAAUGUCAAUGGUUUGAAAUUGUUC
This 1211-nucleotide long non-coding RNA is filed under the name Strigops habroptila (Kakapo). Its description in RNAcentral is "lncRNA (ENSSHBG00005010068.1)". Lineage: Eukaryota; Metazoa; Chordata; Aves; Psittaciformes; Psittacidae. The record is from RNAcentral.